This 800-nucleotide ribosomal RNA is filed under the name Kitasatospora sp. RNAcentral describes it as "bacterial SSU rRNA". It matches the Rfam family "Bacterial small subunit ribosomal RNA", at positions 48 to 868 of the family's 1533-position model. Lineage: Bacteria; Bacillati; Actinomycetota; Actinomycetes; Kitasatosporales; Streptomycetaceae. The record is from RNAcentral.
CUUACCAUGCAGUCGAACGAUGAAGCCUUCGGGUGGAUUAGUGGCGAACGGGUGAGUAACACGUGGGAAAUCUGCCCUGAACUCUGGGACAAGCCUUGGAAACGAGGUCUAAUACCGGAUAUGACCGUGGAGCGCAUGCUCUGUGGUGGAAAGCUCCGGCGGUUCAGGAUGAUCCCGCGGCCUAUCAGCUUGUUGGUGGGGUAAUGGCCUACCAAGGCGACGACGGGUAGCCGGCCUGAGAGGGCGACCGGCCACACUGGGACUGAGACACGGCCCAGACUCCUACGGGAGGCAGCAGUGGGGAAUAUUGCACAAUGGGCGAAAGCCUGAUGCAGCGACGCCGCGUGAGGGAUGACGGCCUUCGGGUUGUAAACCUCUUUCAGCAGGGAAGAAGCGCAAGUGACGGUACCUGCAGAAGAAGCACCGGCUAACUACGUGCCAGCAGCCGCGGUAAUACGUAGGGUGCGAGCGUUGUCCGGAAUUAUUGGGCGUAAAGAGCUCGUAGGCGGCCUGUCGCGUCGGAUGUGAAAGCCCGGGGCUUAACCCCGGGUCUGCAUUCGAUACGGGCAGGCUAGAGUGUGGUAGGGGAGAUCGGAAUUCCUGGUGUAGCGGUGAAAUGCGCAGAUAUCAGGAGGAACACCGGUGGCGAAGGCGGAUCUCUGGGCCAUUACUGACGCUGAGGAGCGAAAGCGUGGGGAGCGAACAGGAUUAGAUACCCUGGUAGUCCACGCCGUAAACGUUGGGAACUAUGUGUUGGCGACAUUCCACGUCGUCGUGCCGCAGCUAACGCAUUAAGUCCC